AAUGUCAGCAGAGAGGACCAGCACAGAGGGUGAUGCCGGCGGUCCUGGGGGUCCUGCUUGUUGUCAGUUGAAGGUUUCUGAGUAAAUUGACAGAGCCAGACUAAAGUGAGAUUGGCAAAUGGACUUGAGAUGAAGAAUAACAGCAGCAGCAGCAGCAGCAGCAGCAGCAGAUGUUAUCCUAAUGGAAAACUGGAGGCUCCUCAGCCCUGGGCUGUCCCUCCUGUGCUGGCGUGUGUGCCUCUCCCCUCAUGGUCUGCCUUGCUGACACCGCUUUGGCACCUGGAGUCAUCUAGCUCUGCCAAUCAGAUGCAACCCUAAGGAAACUGAUUUGGAACAUUAAUUCUGUGAGGAAAGAUCCAGGACACUCAACUGUCUCCUUGGCAUCCCUGCAGGACUGUGGAGCACGGUGUGAACGAGCCAUGCUGUAAGCUCCCUUAGCUAUGGAUCAAGCCACUCCAACUGCCAUGACCUCACCAUAUGUGGUUAUCACUUGGUUAUACUGCCUUGUGACAGAGGCAUCAUUCAUCAUUUAAAAGCCCACAUCAGAAGAAGGUACCAAGAAAAUGAGAACUUUGUUCUGCAGUUACAUGCAGCUGAAACGUGGAGAAUGAACCAAGGAAGUAUGGCAGUGUGCUAAAAAAAAUCCAUAAAAAUCACAUAGAGGUAAUGGUUACCAGUGGCUGAAAUUGCACAAGAGAAAGAUCUCACUUUUAAGUGUCUUCUGAUGGAGCUACACGAUAUCAUGCGUAAAAAUGUAAAUUUCUUCUGUUGAUGAUAUUGCUAAGCAGAGAUACUCCAUGAUGUCAUCGAAAAGCAAAAAUCAAACCCCCAAAUGAGAGAAAUUCACAAGAUGUACCCUGAUGUUCCAAUUGGCAGCAAGUACUAACUAGGCAUUUAAUAAGAUAAGUUGAUUAUUAGUCUCUGGGUAUGAUGGUCAUGUUACACUUCUAUAUCCAGUAAGGCUACUUCCCUUUCAGAGAUAUAUAUUAAAGUACUUACGGUUA
RNAcentral lists this long non-coding RNA (1004 nucleotides) under Mus caroli (Ryukyu mouse). Its description in RNAcentral is "lncRNA (MGP_CAROLIEiJ_G0005546.1)". Lineage: Eukaryota; Metazoa; Chordata; Mammalia; Rodentia; Muridae. The record is from RNAcentral.